GAUGAACGCUGGCGGCGUGCCUAAUACAUGCAAGUCGAGCGAACAGACGAGGAGCUUGCUCCUCUGACGUUAGCGGCGGACGGGUGAGUAACACGUGGAUAACCUACCUAUAAGACUGGGAUAACUUCGGGAAACCGGAGCUAAUACCGGAUAAUAUAUUGAACCGCAUGGUUCAAUAGUGAAAGACGGUUUUGCUGUCACUUAUAGAUGGAUCCGCGCCGCAUUAGCUAGUUGGUAAGGUAACGGCUUACCAAGGCAACGAUGCGUAGCCGACCUGAGAGGGUGAUCAGCCCCACUGGAACUGAGACACGGUCCAGACUCCUACGGGAGGCAGCAGAAGGGAAUCGUCCGCAAGGGGCGAAAGCCUGACGGAGCAACGCCGCGUGAGUGAUGAAGUGCUUCGGAUCUGAAAACUCUGUUAUUAGGGAAGAACAAAUGUGUAAGUAACUAUGCACGUCUUGACGGUACCUAAUCAGAAAGCCACGGCUAACUACGUG
RNAcentral lists this ribosomal RNA (497 nucleotides) under uncultured bacterium. RNAcentral's name for it is "partial 16S ribosomal RNA". It matches the Rfam family "Bacterial small subunit ribosomal RNA", at positions 28 to 507 of the family's 1533-position model. The record is from RNAcentral.